GAACACCUUGACAUGAAUAAAUGUUGUCCUCCCGCCCUGCGGAGAUCAUUGAGAGAAGCACCCAGUUGGCUUUUUCAGUUUUGAAGAGCUGCCCAAGCAGUUCCAAGAAGAGUUGAUCACAUUUAUGUCAAGGAGCCAAGCGCUUUCUCUGAGGUGUGCAGAACCGGGAGGGAAGAGUCGGCAUGCUCACAUCGAGUCCCUCACCACGACCUCAGGACCUGUCCUCUGUGAGGCUCCUGCCCCCCCAAGGCCUCCUGCCUCCUCCCCACCACGUCCGGGGGGUGGGCUGCUUCAUCUCUACGAGGGACUGGGAGACUUCUGCCAGGACCGUGCCCUGCUCUACCAGGGACUUCGGCUGUGGACACAGGAGACAGGACCGGAGGUGCGAGGCUGCGCCCUUCAGAGGAGAGGUGGUGUUUGCAGGAUUUGGUGACUGAUUGCCUGUGAAAGAUGAAGGAGAAGGAGGAGUCACAGACGACCCUGAGGUUUCUCCAUUCGUGACUUUUUGGAUGGUGGUGCAAACAAGGACAUAGCAGCAAAAGC
This is a long non-coding RNA of Budorcas taxicolor (takin), 543 nucleotides long. RefSeq lists it as uncharacterized. The transcript is spliced from 3 exons. Lineage: Eukaryota; Metazoa; Chordata; Mammalia; Artiodactyla; Bovidae. The record is from RefSeq and is a predicted model, not a curated record.